UAACACGAACCGUGCGAACGUUAUUCGGAAUCACUGGGCUUAAAGGGUGCGUAGGCGGCUUUGCAAGUGAGGUGUGAAAUCCCUCAGCUCAACUGAGGAACUGCGCUUCAAACUGCAUAGCUAGAGGGAGACAGAGGUAAGCGGAACUGAUGGUGGAGCGGUGAAAUGCGUUGAUAUCAUCAGGAACACCAGUGGCGAAGGCGGCUUACUGGGUCUCUUCUGACGCUGAGGCACGAAAGCUAGGGUAGCGAACGGGAUUAGAUACCCCGGUAGUCCUAGCUGUAAACGAUGGGUACUGGAUCGAGGAACCUUCCACAGUUUCUCGGUCGUAGCGAAAGUGUUAAGUACUCCGCCUGGGGAGUAUGGUCGCAAGGCUG
This 377-nucleotide ribosomal RNA is filed under the name uncultured Planctomycetota bacterium. Its description in RNAcentral is "bacterial SSU rRNA". It matches the Rfam family "Bacterial small subunit ribosomal RNA", at positions 521 to 896 of the family's 1533-position model. The record is from RNAcentral. Lineage: Bacteria; Pseudomonadati; Planctomycetota.